CCCGAGGGAGGGGAGGGGCCAAGAGCGGGCUGGAGGGUGGGGCCAAGUCAAAUGCAAGGCGUGGCCAGGGUGGAGGGUAGGACUGGAGGGCCGUGGUCAGCUAUGGGAGUCAGUGGAACGGGGCCAGAGGACAGUGGGCCGGAGAAGAGGGGGCGCGCGAGGCGAUGCUUCUGAGAGCGUGGGUCCCGAGGGUUCGGCGUAAGAAACCCCGUCCCGGACGGAGUCCGUGGAAGGCGGCCAAGGAGGAGGGGCAGGCGAGAGGCCGCGGGUCCGCCCUCAAUGGCGUCUCUUUGCUCUGAUUGGCCAUGCGCGCUUUUGCACGUGACCUCGGAGCCAAUCGCGGCGGCCCGUUCGGUCGGAGGGUGGGAGGAGUCGGGUCGGCGCUGACGCUGCGAGGCACGGGGCGUGUCAGGCCCUGCGUCCUCUCCGCCCCGGCGCUCCUUCGGGGUCCAGAUGGUGUGGACAGGUGGCCCAGACCCAGGGUUCCGGCCCUGGUGGCUCCGCGGGGACAGCAGGGUUUGUCUCGCUGCGGAUUAGCAGAUCUGGACAAAACGGUCCUUAAUUGCGGCGCCGUUUAGCGUGCCCCGGGGGCCGGAUGGCUGGGUGAGCGGCUCUGCCUCCCGCGGUGUCCCGGAGGGGCCUGAUCCGCCCUGGGAGCCAAGGCGCCUUCCUGGCGUGGGGGUCAACCCUUUGCUACGUGGGAUGCGAGCCGCGAGGACUGCGGAGGCGGCCAGAGAGAACACACAAGGGCCUCCGACAUGCAGGAGGAGGUGCAGGUGCAAGGACAGACGCAGUGACACCCAUGGUCUCGCCAAGCUCAGCGGCCCUGGGCACCCAUGCACUGGCCAUGGGAUACGGGGGUUGACACGAGAGAACACCCAGGCUGCUUGGAGCUGGCUUUUCAACACGUGGAAACAAGCAUUUUAAACAGACAUGGACCCAGGAGGAGCAGAGGACUGGACGAGCAGGGCACUGGCACUGGCGGCGUGCUUCGCCUCUGGACGAGGGUGUUUGUGGUUAGUACUGCAGUCUAAUUGAUAUGGCUUCUCUAAGAGCUAUGUAAGGUCAUGAAGGUCAGUGUCACGCACAGCCCUGGCCCCCACCUGUGGACACUGAAUGCAGUUUUGAUGUGGGCAGGGAGCGCCAGGGCCCAGGCCAAGCCAACAGGGUUCCUGGUCAAGAUAAAACUCAUCAAAUACC
Molecule: long non-coding RNA, 1200 nt
Organism: Heterocephalus glaber (naked mole-rat)
Lineage: Eukaryota; Metazoa; Chordata; Mammalia; Rodentia; Bathyergidae
Source: RefSeq, a predicted model, not a curated record